GACGAACGCUGGCGGCGUGCCUAAUACAUGCAAGUCGAGCGAAGUUUUUCUGGUGCUUGCACUAGAAAAACUUAGCGGCGAACGGGUGAGUAACACGUAAAGAACCUGCCUCAUAGACUGGGACAACUAUUGGAAACGAUAGCUAAUACCGGAUAACAGUAUUUCUCGCAUGAGAGAUAUUAAAAAGUUGGUUAUGCUAAAACUAUGAGAUGGUUUUGCGUUGCAUUAGCUAGUUGGUGGGGUAAAGGCCCACCAAGGCGACGAUGCAUAGCCGACCUGAGAGGGUGAUCGGCCACACUGGGACUGAGACACGGCCCAGACUCCUACGGGAGGCAGCAGUAGGGAAUCUUCCGCAAUGGGCGAAAGCCUGACGGAGCAACGCCGCGUGAGUGAAGAAGGAUUUCGGUUCGUAAAGCUCUGUUGUUAGGGAAGAAUGGAUAUGUAGUAACUAUACAUGUAAGAGACGGUACCUAACCAGAAAGCCACGGCUAACUACGUG
This 499-nucleotide ribosomal RNA is filed under the name uncultured bacterium. RNAcentral describes it as "partial 16S ribosomal RNA". It matches the Rfam family "Bacterial small subunit ribosomal RNA", at positions 28 to 507 of the family's 1533-position model. The record is from RNAcentral.